Molecule: unclassified non-coding RNA, 187 nt
Filed under: uncultured Paecilomyces
Lineage: Eukaryota; Fungi; Ascomycota; Eurotiomycetes; Eurotiales; Thermoascaceae
Description: sequence contains ITS1
Source: RNAcentral
CCGAGUUUACAACUCCCAAACCCCCUGUGAACCUAUACCAUUACUGUUGCUUCGGCGGGUCAUUGCCCCGGGGAAAGGACGAGGUGCCGCCUAGGCUCCCCGGCCCGCCCCCGGAAACAGGCGCCUGCCGGGGGAAUCAAACUCUUGUUAUUUUAUGUAAUCUGAGCGUCUUAUUUUAAAUAAGUCA